Long non-coding RNA from Ictalurus punctatus (channel catfish), 2380 nucleotides. NCBI's taxonomy places the organism in Eukaryota, Metazoa, Chordata, Actinopteri, Siluriformes, Ictaluridae. The record is from Ensembl.
CGUUAAGAAUGUAAUCUAAAAAGCAUUAAAGCUGUAAAUAGAAUUUGCAGCCUGUACUAUAUGGCUAUUAUAGCAUCUGAAGUAGUGUAGUUUGACCCGACGUACGUCAAGUCAAGUGGCUUUAUUGUUAUUUCAACCAUAUCCAGUAAUAUUGGCACCCUUGGUAAGUGUGAGCAAAGGAAACUGUGAAAAUUUGUCUUUAUUGUUUAACCUUUAACGAAUACUCUGCUCUCAUGGAUAUCAAACAAUUGCAAACACAACGCAGCUUUCUGUUUUGUGUGUUUGUGUGUGCGUGUGUGUGCGUGUGUGUGUGGGUGUCAGUCCAGUCUUUGAGCAUCGAGGAGUCCGAUGGCUUGGGGGAAGAAGCUCUUACACGGUCUGGCCGUGAGGGCCCGAAUGCUUCGGUACCUUUUUCCAGACGGCAGGAGGGUGAAGAGUUUGUGUGAGGCGGGUGUGUGGGGUCAUCCACAAUGCUGGUGGCUUUGCCGAUGCACCGUGUGGUGUAAAUGUCUAUGAUGGAGGGAAGACAGACCCAAGUGAUCUCCGCUGUCCUCACUUUCCACUGCAGGGUCUUACGGUCCAAUACGGUGUAAUUUCCAAACCCGGCAGUGAUGCAGCUGCUCAGGAUGCUCUCAAUGGUGCUGUCAAAGCGAAGUGCAGGACGAAGGAGAAGGAGGAGGACACGCGGCAGGGAUGAGUGGAGGCCGUUUCUACGGCGGUUGCCGUGGCCAGCGGAGUGACGUGCGAGUGCACAUGCCGGUCCGUAUGCUGUGUGGUAGGAGACAGAACGGCUGCGGCCCCCUCUUCACUCGCAUCAUACUAUUCCCAACAUGAACUUUCACGGUCCUCCAUCCACUCACUGAGUCACUGUGAGCAAUUUUCUUCUCUCCGUCCAAGUCUUCUCGAAGAUCUCUCCCGUCUCCUGGAGUCGCUCUUCGAUCAUCAAGAGCAGCACAAACUUUCUUCCUUCUCGUCGCACUGUACUAUCUGUUUUUUUUUUCUAGGUCAUGCUUGCUUAUACAAAAGUGUCCAAAUUCAUUGUGUACAUGGUCUUUUUUUUUUGUUUUUGGCGAACAAGCUGAGGAAGUUUGACUCACUCCGAACUCUGGCUUCAUAGAGUCAUUCAUAAGUCUGGAGUCAUCUCUCGCCGUCUCGCUCCUGUGUAUAAACAGAAACCACCGGACCGUUAACAUCCCCUCGCGGCGGCUAACCACAAUCAUUUCAUACAUGCCUCACAUGGCCGAGCUACUGAAUCAGCGUCCGUCAGGCUGUCGUGCUCUAAACACAGGUCCCGGAUCAGUUUCCUACAAAUCAACACAUUGUCUAAUCCUGUCUUUAAACGAUACGUCUGAUUUAUGGUCAGUAGAAAAUGACCAGGUUCGUAAACGACGGUGAAUCAUUCAAUUUCCUGGCAAGCCAGUGUUGGUCUUGGAUCAGGUCCAUCCAUUGACUGUGUUUCCCUCUGAGUAGAAAUGCUCAGAGUCAACUAGUUUCAAAUUAGACCUUUAUUUAUUUUUUUAAAAACAGGCCUUUUUAACGUGUUUAUCUUGUGGUUAAUAGGUUAACAUCUAAAAGUCGUCCAAAAAAAGUCCGCUAUGACGAACUGUUUAAAUAAAAUCAGUUAAGGAUACAGUAAAGAAUAUGGUCAAAAAAAAACCACAUUUAAAAAAAAAACAUGCUGAGUGCAAAAGUUUGUGCACCUGCACAUCUCAGGAACACUGGAUGUGAGGCGGGAAUUUACCUUAAAUGAGACGCCAGUCAUUUAUUCAUUCAUUCAUUUUCAGCAAGCACUUCAUCCUGGUCAGGAUAUCGCUGGAUCCAGAUCCUUAUCCCAGGAACACUGGGAAUGAAGUAGAUUUAUGUAGUGUGAUCUUUAGAGUUUUCAUUCAUUCAUCCUCAGGAUCUGCUUUAUCCUGGUGGAGGCGGAGUCUAUCCUACAAACACUUUGUGUGAGGUGGGAAUACACCCUGGAUGGAACGCCGGUCCAAGGCCACACAUUCACACACCCACUCACACCCAGGGGUAAUUUAACAUCGUCAGUCUGCAUACGUCCAUGUUGUUUUGGAGAUAGGAGGAAAGCAGAGAAUUGAAGGGAACCCGUACGGACACACCGAGAACAUGGGGGACUCUACACACACGGUAACCCGAGCUCAGGAUUGAACCAGGUCACAAGUUUCUUAAUGUGAUUAUUAAUAUUCUCUAAUCCUUCCUUUGCUUUAAUAAAGGACUACAAACUCGUUGUUUAUCCUUUGAACAGCUUUAAAUUUAUAUUUGGUAUAAUUUCGUCAUACUUGAUAGAGGGAUUUCUCAGGCAGCAAAAUGUUUUAAGGCCAAAACCAAAACCAAAACCAAAACAAAAGAAAGAAAGAAACAAACCAAA